This 399-nucleotide ribosomal RNA is filed under the name Micrathena horrida. RNAcentral's name for it is "partial 16S ribosomal RNA". Lineage: Eukaryota; Metazoa; Arthropoda; Arachnida; Araneae; Araneidae. The record is from RNAcentral.
CAUUUGCUCCAUGAUUUUUGAAUAGCCGCGGAAACUUAACCGUGCUAAGGUAGCAUAAUCAUUAACCCCCUAAUUAGGGGCUCGUAUGAAUGAUGAAACAUUUUAAUAACUUUUUUAACAUUUAUUAUUUAAUUUUAUUUAAAAAUCAAAAUAUUUUUAUUCUAUUAAUAGACAACAAGACCCUAACGAACUUAACUUUAUGUUCUGCUGGGGCAGCAAAAAAAUAAAUAUCUUUUUAAUUAUUUUUUUUUUUAUAAAUGAUCCAAUACAAAUUGAUUAUUUGUUUAAGUUACCGUAGGGAUAACAGCGUAAUUAAUUUUUGAAGCUCUUAUUUAAAAUAUUAGAUUGCGACCUCGAUGUUGAAUUAAUGAAACUAUUUAAGUGCAACCACUAAAUAAA